This 433-nucleotide ribosomal RNA is filed under the name uncultured bacterium. Its description in RNAcentral is "partial 16S ribosomal RNA". It matches the Rfam family "Bacterial small subunit ribosomal RNA", at positions 29 to 507 of the family's 1533-position model. The record is from RNAcentral.
AACGAACGCUGGCGGCAUGCCUAACACAUGCAAGUCGAACGAGACCUUCGGGUCUAGUGGCGCACGGGUGCGUAACGCGUGGGAACCUGCCCUUAGGUUCGGAAUAACUCCCCGAAAGGUGUGCUAAUACCGGAUAAUGUCUUCGGACCAAAGAUUUAUCGCUUUUGGAUGGGCCCGCGUUGGAUUAGCUAGUUGGUAGGGUAAAAGCCUACCAAGGCGACGAUCCAUAGCUGGUCUGAGAGGAUGAUCAGCCACACUGGGACUGAGACACGGCCCAGACUCCGACGGGAGGCAGGAGAGGGGAAUAUUGGACAAUGGGCGAAAGCCUGAUCAAGCAAUGCGGCGUGAGUGAUGAAGGCCGUAGGGUUGUAAAGCUCUUUUACCCGGGAUGAUAAUGACAGUACCGGGAGAAUAAGCUCCGGCUAACUCCGUG